This 356-nucleotide ribosomal RNA is filed under the name uncultured Corynebacterium sp. RNAcentral's name for it is "bacterial SSU rRNA". It matches the Rfam family "Bacterial small subunit ribosomal RNA", at positions 538 to 890 of the family's 1533-position model. Lineage: Bacteria; Bacillati; Actinomycetota; Actinomycetes; Mycobacteriales; Corynebacteriaceae. The record is from RNAcentral.
GCGUUGUCCGGAAUUACUGGGCGUAAAGAGCUCGUAGGUGGUUUGUCGCGUCGUCUGUGAAAUCCCGGGGCUUAACUUCGGGCGUGCAUGCGAUACGGGCAUAACUUGAGUGCUGUAGGGGAGACUGGAAUUCCUGGUGUAGCGGUGAAAUGCGCAGAUAUCAGGAGGAACACCAAUGGCGAAGGCAGGUCUCUGGGCAGUAACUGACGCUGACGAGCNAAAGCAUGGGUAGCGAACAGGAUUAAUAUACCCUGGUAGUCCAUGCCGUAAACGGUGGGCGCUAUGUGUAGGGGUCUUCCACGACUUCUGUGCCCCAACUAACGCAUUAAGCGCCCCGCCUGGGGAGUACCGCCGCA